CGAAGCCUCCCUACGCGAGCGAGAGACUCAGCACCUGGGCGCUGAACAGCUCCACACAGACCCACGGGCGGAGCCAGCCUCGGAGCGCGCAGCCUAUGGGCGCGCGCUGCGGCCGCUACCGCCGGCCCCCUCUCUCCGCCCCGCAGGCCUCAGCGGGCAGCGCCGCCUCGGGAGCCGAGCUGAGGAAUUGACUCCACCGCCGGAGCUGCGGUUCGCGGAUUGAUUCGGACUUAUGUCAGGAAUGGCUCCAGGAGUUCUGGUGGCAGUCUCCCCUGCUAGCACUGGACCAGUAAAGAAGGUGCAUCCAGGGAGUCAGGCUAAGGAGGUGGUCCUGUAGUGACGUGCAGCCCUACCAAAUGAGUUUCUUCUUGCGCCAAAUCCUAUUUAUCCUACUUUGGUAAUGGAUAGGCAGUAAUUGCUCCAAGGAGGCACGAUUUGCCCGUUAGCAACGGCUACUCCUCUUGCAAAAAUCCUGCUUUUCUUCUUCUAUAUAUACAUGGAAUCAAUCCAGCCACCCCUGAAGUGCAGCCAGCACUCAAGUGCAGCCAGCUCUGGAUUGAAAGAUGGCAGCUGUUGUGUAUUUUUGCUGUACAUUACUAAACAGCUUAGUUCUACAAAGGACAAACAAUUCAGAAAUAAAUAAUGUUGGUAUUUAUAUAAGAAAAAAAAAUAUCUAAUGCCAGGACAUCAGAGUUAGCACUUCAACCACUAUGAAACAUACCAGGGGUUUUUUAAUGACCACCAUUAGUUUUCUGUCUUGUCCAAAAGACACUUUGAAUUACCUGUUACAUCUCAGAAUACCUAUUUGAUUUCUCAAACAAGUUUCUUGCUGCCAGACCUACCCUUACAUUUCAUUUUAGUUCAGUAAAAUUGUCAAUGUAAUAGUAAAAAUACUUGUUAAUUUGAAAAUUAAGCAUUCAGAUAGCCACUUCAGUUGAACUAUAGCGAUAACCCUAACCAAUUGAAAUGUACAGAAUAAAUAUUGCCAACACUAAAUAGCCAAGAGCACUCUGCUGCUUAAUGUAGGGUGGAAUAAAAUGACUGCUGAGAGGGAGGGCCCAGUAAAGGGAGACUGGGGGUGACAAGAUAGUUAGGCAUAGAAGGAGCAAUUAGUUUCAACCAUAAUGGUAUUAAUUUGUAAGCAGAUGUAUUGUAUAACUUUGAUUAUAUUGUAUUUACU
Mauremys mutica (yellowpond turtle) is the source of this 1180-nucleotide long non-coding RNA. RefSeq lists it as uncharacterized. Lineage: Eukaryota; Metazoa; Chordata; Testudines; Geoemydidae. The record is from RefSeq and is a predicted model, not a curated record. The transcript is spliced from 4 exons.